GUAGGGUGCGAGCGUUAAUCGGAAUUACUGGGCGUAAAGCGUGCGCAGGCGGUUAUGUAAGACAGAUGUGAAAUCCCCGGGCUCAACCUGGGAACUGCAUUAGUGACUGCAUAGCUGGAGUACGGCAGAGGGGGAUGGAAUUCCGCGUGUAGCAGUGAAAUGCGUAGAUAUGCGGAGGAACACCGAUGGCGAAGGCAGGUCUCUGGGCUGACACUGACGCUCAUGCACGAAAGCGUGGGGAGCAAACAGGAUUAGAUACCCUGGUAGUCCACGCCCUAAACGAUGUCGACUGGUUGUUGGGGGUUUGACACUCUCAGUAACGAAGCUAACGCGUGAAGUCGACCGCCUGGGGAGUACGGCCGCAAGGUUA
RNAcentral lists this ribosomal RNA (370 nucleotides) under uncultured bacterium. RNAcentral's name for it is "bacterial SSU rRNA". It matches the Rfam family "Bacterial small subunit ribosomal RNA", at positions 527 to 896 of the family's 1533-position model. The record is from RNAcentral.